UUGACAGCUAUGGAGAGUGAAGACUUCUGUUUAUCCACAGAGCGUUCACAGCAUGGACAGUGGUGAUGCAAGCUUCCUUCUCACCUGUCUUGCCAAUGUCCUUCAGACUUGAUCAUCUCUAGGGGAUAAGAUAGUAGCUAAUUAUCCAUGGCCCAUUCAAUUCUUGUUGUCU
Chrysemys picta bellii (western painted turtle) is the source of this 172-nucleotide unclassified non-coding RNA. Lineage: Eukaryota; Metazoa; Chordata; Testudines; Emydidae. The record is from Ensembl.